CUUUCCUGACUUUAUUUAUUUAUUUUAUUUUAUUUUUUUCUCCCAGCAGAAUGUUUGUAACCCUGUGAAGUGCAGCUGAAUCACCUUUUGAACUAAAUUAUUGCACUUUUUUUUUUUUUUAACAUGUCAGCUCCUCUUACAUGAGCAUCACUGUAACAACAGGCAUCAUGUGUCUUCUGGUUGAAGGACAGUUCAACAGGCAGCAUUGUUCCAGCAAUUAGCCAGUGCCCCUUUUUUUUUUUUUUUUUUUUUUGUACACUGAUGCUUCAGUGGCUCCACAGACUGAACGCUGCAGUCCAAACAACUGAUUCUUCAAAAAUGACUGUGUGACACCUUCACUCUGACUGGGGGAGGGAAAAGAAAAAUAUGUGCACAAUCACAGACAGACACAGUGUUCACUUGUUGUCAUCAUCACCGAUUUGUACUUCUGAUCUUGACUCAAACUUUUUAAAGGGCAAUAAAAAAUGCCUCCUUCCUUGUAAUUCACUCAAUGUGUACUCAGAGUACAGAGCCCUGUCACUGCACUGCUCACAUUCCUCUACAAUAAAAUACCCGGUUUGAAGAUUGGAAACAUUUAACAACUACAGUAGGUGUUUACAGAAAGAAUUCCGUUUUACCACGUUUAUAUUUCAUUUCAGUUUUCACGGUCGAGGCAUUUUGUCGCCAGCUUCGACUGGAUUUACCAAAAAAUGUCCCUGGAAAUGGUACAAAAAAAUGCAACUGUAAGCUUGAAUUGUUGAUAAUUUUACUUGCAUUGUUCAACAAAAAGGCUGCAGAAAUAACUCCAAACGUCAAAUUCAGCACAUAAUACUGAUAUUUUUAUGCAUUAUCUGCUUACAAGUACCAUUUAUUGACAAUGUGAGGCAAUCAAAACAGCAACCAGCAGUGAGAAUAUGAGACGUUUCCCCCUACAUGGGGUGUAUGUUACAAAUAUAUACACAUAUAUCUUUCUAGUUUCUCAGUAACAAAGUAAAAUCGGACUUGAAUAAAAAUCUUUUGAAAUGACGACACUUGGGCUGUUCUCGCUUAUAUUGUGCAACAUUGGAGCAGAGCAGAGAAGAAAAAAAUUAACAAAGGUUCAAGGCAUCAGGUGAUAAUGAAAGGAUAGGGGCAAUACUUCAAAGACCACGAGGUGCACAUCACACAAUUAUACAAUACAAUUAGGAUUAAAGGGGCAAAAGAGAUAACAGGAGAUAGGGAUAAAUUAUCACAAAAGGAAAGAUGUGACUCUCUCCUGACCUUCAUUAAGAGAGGGAAAAAAAACUCAUUUGGCGCCGGCCUUCUUUGCAGGGGGAUUUGAGCCCUUUACAUGAGACUGUGAGUCACUAGAUAAGAUUUACGGAGCAUAAAUGAGGAGCUGAACGGCUGCCAAACAAUAACAAAAUACGUUUCUUAGAACAGAACAAAUACAGUAAGUCGUGAUACGCAAAUAAAUAUAAAACAUAAAAUUACAUUUAGAGUUAAAAAAAAAAAAUGUGACUGUUGUAGAACGGCACGUGUUUCAUGCCAUGCAGAGCGGAAGUCUAUAAUAAAUAAACAAUUUCAUCGAUUUGUAUUCUGAGUGAACCAGUUUUUGAUGAUACACUUUCACAUUUUUAAAAUUUUGUUAUUCUUGCAACUGUCUAAGCUGCUCAAGUUCACACAUUAAAGGGUAAUUCAACCAAUUUUACACAUGUAGGUUAGUUGAAAUGUGGUGGGAAAAAAAAGUUGUAUGAAGCCUUUAGAGACUCCAGAUGAAGCUGAAUGUAAUCUGAUAAACUGCCUCCAGUGAUGUCACUCAGUGGCCAAGUUGCAUUGUGGGUAAUGUAGGCGCUAUAUUUCUGUUGGACUCAUUGUAGACAGUUUAAACACAAAUGAUCAAUAUUUGUACAGCAGAAUCAGAUAUGUCACCUUUUUCAAUUCCAAGCAUGCUUCAAAGCAUGGUCCCUACAUUACCCACAAUGCAAUUUAUCCACCAAGUGACAUCAUUAGAAGCCAUUUAUAAGAAUAUAUGCAGCUUCAUCUGGAGCCACAAAAGUCUUCAUACUACUUUUUUCCCCACAUAUGCGGUCGUUCUCCCCAAGACCUGUAAACACACUGUAAUGUGCAAAUUUGGUGGAUUUACCCUUUAACUCUGUUGGCAAACAAACACAUGGUGUCAGUCUGUGUCUAUAACAGCCUCACAUCAAAUCACUCAAUAAAACAUGUGACCAGACUGCAGAGAUAAUGAACCACAGUUUUACUGUAAGCACUGUUUGAUCAACAUUUGCCCUCUAGACACAAUCAUGUGUCAAUGUCCUCCAAAAAACACAAACAUGACAAACUUUUUCAAGUUGAACAAGGUAAGAAAAGUUGGAUAACCUCCCUGCUCUGACAGAAAUACAAAAACACCCAGCUCUUCUUCACAGAUUGAAUCUUCCAGUAGUUUCUCCUGCAAGACAGAACGCAUCUGCUUCAGACCUUGCGUUGCUCUUAAAUGGCACCGUAACAACACUUCUUUGACUUUUGUUUAAAGAUGGAAUUAGGGUAUCUCCUGUACAACCAGUCGUCCCAGGUCCAGAGGAUUCUUUCCAUCCUUUCCUCAAGCAACUUUGACUUUUUAAUUUCACAAGCACAAGAACCAGAAUCCUGAUUUGUUCCUCCAUCUCACUCAUAAAUCUACCAGCUGAAGUUCUCUCAUGACUCAAUUCUUCCAGUCCAACCCGUCAUUAUUUGGUCCGUCACACGCUUUCCUGCUUCCAGCAAUGAUCCUGAUGGACUUUCAUGGAGGCAAAUGUCCAAACUUCCUCUUCCUGAAGCUGAACCACGAUGGUCCCAGAUCUCCACUGACAUGCCCACAUCUGGACGAAGACAUCGUCAUCAUCUCCUCCAAGACUUCCCGCCUUCUCUUGCUCCCUUAGUUUUAUACUAACAAUGAAGCAGUCCAACCUGAUCUUCUCCAGGAUAUUGUAUUCCAGCUCUGUAAAGUCUUCCGCUAAUUCUUGAGGUCUUCCAUCAAUCUUAUUUUUCCAUGUUUAACCUGAAUCCAGGAGCCAGAUGAGACACUUCAACAAGGAUCUUGAGGGCACCUCCCCUACCUGAUGUCCACUUGGAGAAGUCAGCUCUUCGGUGUGAGCUCUCCUCAACAACGACAAUGGCUACAGUGAGUCUGAGACCUGAACCUGAGGACGUGGUGCAAAGCUCCGCGAGAGUCAGAAUUUGCAUCCUGAAUUAUGAAGUGAGGAAAAACCUUUAUUGGACAAACGGCUGCGUGUGAAAUCUGAAC
Acanthopagrus latus (yellowfin seabream) is the source of this 3244-nucleotide long non-coding RNA. RefSeq lists it as uncharacterized. The record is from RefSeq and is a predicted model, not a curated record. The transcript is spliced from 3 exons. Lineage: Eukaryota; Metazoa; Chordata; Actinopteri; Spariformes; Sparidae.